CCUACGGGAGGCAGCAGUGAGGAAUAUUGGUCAAUGGGCUUACGCCUGAACCAGCCAAGUCGCGUGAGGGAAGACUGCCCUAUGGGUUGUACACCUCUUUUAUAUGGGAAUAAAAUGUUCCACGUGUGGGAUUUUGUAUGUACCAUAUGAAUAAGGAUCGGCUAACUCCGUGCCAGCAGCCGCGGUAAUACGGAGGAUGCGAGCGUUAUCCGGAUUUAUUGGGUUUAAAGGGUGCGUAGGCGGGCUUUUAAGUCAGCGGUAAAAAUUCGGGGCUCAACCCCGUCCGGCCGUUGAAACUGGGGGCCUUGAGUGGGCGAGAAGAAGGCGGAAUGCGUGGUGUAGCGGUGAAAUGCAUAGAUAUCACGCAGAACCCCGAUUGCGAAGGCAGCCUUCCGGCGCCCUACUGACGCUGAGGCACGAAAGUGCGGGGAUCGAACAGGAUUAGAUACCCCUGUAGUC
This 459-nucleotide ribosomal RNA is filed under the name uncultured bacterium. RNAcentral describes it as "partial 16S ribosomal RNA". It matches the Rfam family "Bacterial small subunit ribosomal RNA", at positions 338 to 795 of the family's 1533-position model. The record is from RNAcentral.